RNAcentral lists this ribosomal RNA (484 nucleotides) under uncultured bacterium. Its description in RNAcentral is "partial 16S ribosomal RNA". It matches the Rfam family "Bacterial small subunit ribosomal RNA", at positions 29 to 507 of the family's 1533-position model. The record is from RNAcentral.
AUUGAACGCUGGCGGCAUGCUUUACACAUGCAAGUCGAACGGCAGCGCGGGCUUCGGCCUGGCGGCGAGUGGCGCACGGGUGUGUAAUACAUCGGAACGUGCCCAGUAGUGGGGGAUAGCUCGGCGAAAGCCGGAUUAAUACCGCAUACGACCUGAGGGUGAAAGCGGGGGAUCUUCGGACCUCGCGCUAUCGGAGCGGCCGAUGGCAGAUUAGCUAGUUGGUGGGGGCAAGGCCUACUAAGGCGACAAUCUGUAGCUGGUCUGAGAGGACGACCGGCCACACUGGGACUGAGACACGGCCCAGACUCCUACGGGAGGCAGCAGUGGGGAAUUUUGGACAAUGGGCGAAAGCCUUAUCCAGCAAUGCCGCGUGUGUGAUGAAGGCCUUCGGGUUGUAAAGCAGUUUUGGCGGGAACGAAAAGGACUGUGCCAAUACCACGGUUCGAUGACGGUACCCGCAGAAUAAGCACCGGCUAACUACGUG